GACGAACGCUGGCGGCGUGCUUAACACAUGCAAGUCGAACGAAGUGGCGAACGGGUGAGUAACGCGUAAUCAACCUGCCCUUCAGAGGGGGACAACAGUUGGAAACGACUGCUAAUACCGCAUACUGAAGGAGGGGAUUGCGUCUGAUUAGCUAGUUGGAGGGGUAACGGCCCACCAAGGCGAUGAUCAGGAGCCGGUCGGAGAGGAUGAACGGCCACAUUGGGAAUGAGACACGGCCCAGACUCCUACGGGAGGCAGCAGUGGGGAAUAUUGGACAAUGGGCGAAAGCCUGAUCCAGCCAUGCCGCGUGUGUGAAGAAGGUCUUCGGAUUGUAAAGCACUUUAAGUUGGGAGGCGUUACCGACAGAAUAAGCACCGGCUAACUCUGUGCCAGCAGCCGCGGUAAUAC
This 408-nucleotide ribosomal RNA is filed under the name uncultured bacterium. Its description in RNAcentral is "partial 16S ribosomal RNA". It matches the Rfam family "Bacterial small subunit ribosomal RNA", at positions 28 to 526 of the family's 1533-position model. The record is from RNAcentral.